Long non-coding RNA from Corythoichthys intestinalis (scribbled pipefish), 859 nucleotides. RefSeq lists it as uncharacterized. Lineage: Eukaryota; Metazoa; Chordata; Actinopteri; Syngnathiformes; Syngnathidae. The record is from RefSeq and is a predicted model, not a curated record. The transcript has 6 exons.
CUAGACGAAUUAGAUACGCUAACACCUGCGAGACAGGUGAUUCUAGCGGUCUCAUCAAAAUGUUUGUUUACUUUUGUUUUGCGGUGCGGUCGUGAACAUCGAGUGGCGGAACAAAUGUGAACAGGGCCCGGGUGUGACAAGUAUAAGCUGGACCCCCCGAGUGGAUCGUGUGCCUCAAGACCAGGGGCACAACUACCUAUCCUUGUUAAGCGCUUCCUUACCGAUGUCCUUGAUUUCAACCCAGCCCGAUUUCCCCGUUUCAGAGUUGGGCUGUUUCACCACCAUGAAAGACGAGAGCCACAGUGGAUGCUCAAUCAAGUAACAUUACUUCUAAUGGAAUCGCAGAAUGGGGAAGUCAAUUAAGCCAUCUCGCCUUCACCCACAGAUUUCGGAAUGAGAGAUGAGGCACAAAGAAAAUUGAAGCAAUGGCGAUUUCUCAAGGUAUCACUUGGUCUUGAAGUGACGGCGAUUCCGCUUCUCAAGAUUUUUGAUACAGCUGACUGUGAACAGCCCACAUCUUUGGCAACCAUACGUGAGGCGUUACCUUCUACAAGAAGUUUGAUAAUCCUCUCCUUGGUCUCAAGAGACAUCUCGCUUGUUGGAGCCAUGAUUCUUCUGAAUCCACUUGGUCCAGCAGCCCUCCAAGGUGUGAUAACUGCGUUGUUUUAACUGCUGACUAACGAGAUCUAAUCUGAGGCCGGGGCACAAUUAAGAAAAGGAAAUUGACUGGGUGUGUCUGUAUUUUCUACUCAAGUUGGAGUGAUUCUAUAUUUUUUUCUUCAGAAUGGAGUGAUUUUAUAUUUGCCUGCACUUGCUCUAUAAAAGUAACAUUUACUGUCCACCACAAUGUUUUUUCAUU